This 253-nucleotide ribosomal RNA is filed under the name uncultured bacterium. RNAcentral describes it as "partial 16S ribosomal RNA". It matches the Rfam family "Bacterial small subunit ribosomal RNA", at positions 524 to 776 of the family's 1533-position model. The record is from RNAcentral.
UACGUAGGGCGCAAGCGUUAUCCGGAAUUAUUGGGCGUAAAGAGCUCGUAGGCGGUUUGUCGCGUCUGCUGUGAAAAUCCGGGGCUCAACCCCGGACUUGCAGUGGGUACGGGCAGACUAGAGUGCGGUAGGGGAGAUUGGAAUUCCUGGUGUAGCGGUGGAAUGCGCAGAUAUCAGGAGGAACACCGAUGGCGAAGGCAGAUCUCUGGGCCGUAACUGACGCUGAGGAGCGAAAGCGUGGGGAGCGAACAGG